CCAAAUUGGUGCCCGCAGUCGCGGUUAUACAAAUAGUGUGAGUAAAUUUAUUCGUCUUUAGGAAUAUUGAAAUAAUAAAUUAUAGUUUGAGUUAUUAGGUAAAAUUUUAAUUUAAAGAGAAUUUUUUACUUAGUGAUUAACCUGGGAAAAUUUAUAGAUAAACUAGGAUUAGAUACCCUAUUAUUUAAAUUGUAAAUCUUUAGGCAGAGUAGUAGUAGUUAUGACCUUGAAACUUAAAAAAUUUGGCGGUAUUUUAGUCUAUUCAGAGGAACCUGUUCUGUAAUCGAUACUCCACGUUGGACCUUUCUUUCUCUUGCUUUCAGUUUAUAUACCGUCGUUAUCAGAGAAUCUUUAAAGAGAAAUAAUUCUCAAUUAAUUCUAUAAAAUUAUAUAUCAGAUCAAGGUGUAGCUUAUGAGAAAGUAGAAAUGGGUUACAAUAAAAUUAUUUAAAUGGAUAUAAAAAUGAAACUUUUAUUGAAGGUGGAUUUGAUAGUAAAGCUAUAAAGACAAAUAGCUUGACUUUAGCUCUAAAAUAUGCACACAUCGCCCGUCGC
RNAcentral lists this ribosomal RNA (554 nucleotides) under Dichetophora obliterata. Its description in RNAcentral is "partial 12S ribosomal RNA". Lineage: Eukaryota; Metazoa; Arthropoda; Insecta; Diptera; Sciomyzidae. The record is from RNAcentral.